Long non-coding RNA from Saccostrea cuccullata (small rock oyster), 650 nucleotides. RefSeq lists it as uncharacterized. Lineage: Eukaryota; Metazoa; Mollusca; Bivalvia; Ostreida; Ostreidae. The record is from RefSeq and is a predicted model, not a curated record. The transcript has 3 exons.
GGAGGAAAAUGAAGAAGAUGAAGACUUUAAGAAAACCAAUGGAAGAGGCAGAAAAUGAUGACGAACCGGAUUAAUUAAGAGGAGGAGGUAUUUAAGAUUGUACGAAAGUCAAAAGGUUGACCAUUCCUCUAGUUCGCUGCGAUGAAGUAAUCAAAACAACAGAACAGCCCAAAACUUUGACAUCAAUGAUCAGUCUAAACCCUAUGCCUGAUCCUAAUAAUCAGCCUUGCCGGACUAAGGAACACAAGAAAAAAGUACCAAGCAAAAGACCUAGGAAGGGCCCAAGAAAACAAGACAUCUAGGAAAAGAAUGACGAAGGAAUGUCCUUUCUGUUACAUAGAGGUGGUGCAUAUACCAAAGCACCUCACUAUCGCUCAUGGCUACAACCACCAAGCAGCUAAGGCCAAAGUCAAAGCCUCCCACAGCAAGUAAGCAAAUCAUUAUGAUUUAAAUGGCAAAAUCCAUAUACUAACGUUGGUUUUUAGAUGUUAACCUUUCUGCAUUUCCCUAAUAUGAUUAUUCUGUCUAUAAAAAUUGAAACUCUGCCCAAUUAGAGUAUGUAAAGCGAUAGAUAAUAUGCUAGAUACCCACUUGAUAUUUUUCCACCAGAAAAAAAGAGAUACAUUACACCAGCUGGUGAUGUCGGCAAA